GAAAUAUUUUAUAUUAAGUUACUAACUUAAUUUUAAGUGAUUAAUUUCAUUUAUAUUUCU
Molecule: transfer RNA, 60 nt
Filed under: Coreana raphaelis (Korean hairstreak)
Lineage: Eukaryota; Metazoa; Arthropoda; Insecta; Lepidoptera; Lycaenidae
Description: tRNA-Ser
Source: RNAcentral